This is a long non-coding RNA of Prunus dulcis (almond), 1933 nucleotides long. RefSeq lists it as uncharacterized. The transcript has 3 exons. The record is from RefSeq and is a predicted model, not a curated record. NCBI's taxonomy places the organism in Eukaryota, Viridiplantae, Streptophyta, Magnoliopsida, Rosales, Rosaceae.
AUAUCUGUGUGUUUUAAUGUGCAAAGGGUCGUGUUUUCAGGUGGUUUUAUCAUUAAGAUGCCAAUGUUGACUGCUUCAAGUACAAUUGUUAGCUCGCCUCUAUUGCCAACAGGUGCUCACUUUCCGACUCACUUGGGUUCUAUCAGGAAGGGGAUUGAAUCUCACAGAUUAGCUCAGCUGCACCCAGAAAACUAUCUGAGAAGAUAAUCUGCAGAGCAGGGGACUUGCAAUCUACUGAGGUUAAGUAUCUUUGAAACCACUCCAAGGACCUCCUCUCCUUUGAGUUGUAGUUUCAUUUAAGUUGCCAAAAACUCCUGCAGUAACUUUGAUACCUCGCCAGCUACAUGUUCCAAUGGAUCUUUUUUUGCUUCACAGUUUCUUAGGUUCCAUUUCAUUUGGUAUUUAUUUUGGUGUGAUAUAUUUCUCUUAGGGUGUGUCAAAUGGUAAAGCUGCAAGUAAACCAUCUAUUGAUAAUAAUAAAAAUGAGCUUUCUAACCCUAAACCCUCUAAUAUCUGAGUAUGUUGUUGAAUCUAUUGGGUGUUUUGUUGAGGUUAAUUUUAGGGUACAGCAAUGGAUUGAAACAUCUGAGCAUGUUGUUGAAUGUUUUGAGUGUUUUGAGACUGAUGGAGAGAGAAAAACAGAGGAAAAUAGUAUCUGAAUAGAGUUUUUUUCUUUCAAUUACUUAUAAGAUUUCUUCAUAUAAAGCCCUUUGUUUAAUAUCAGUUUCUAUUGAGCUCCCUUAGUUUUUGGUGGAUGUUGGUGUGUAAGUGUGUGUUCUUCCUGUUAUUCACACUGAACCCAUUUUUCUGGAAGGCCAUAACGGUAUAAAGUAGGUAUAAAUUAGGUAUAAAUUAGGUCAAAAUGCUUCUGUAGAGGACUGUUCUGUAUGUAUGGAAUUUUGAUCUUUGUGGAAAUGUGAAUGGUAUGUUAGAAAGUGAAUUCAUAUAGACCGCAUAGUUGGAAUUUUGAGUUCUUAGGUUUAUUUUUGUGCAAAGUCUUCUGUUAGAAGAUUCAUUGAAGAGCCAUUUCUUUCCUUUUUCAGUCCCUCUUCUGUCACUUGAAAGGCUAAAGUACCUGCAAAGACAUGAAUUCUUGCAGGAAUUAUAGCUCAUGAGAGCAAUACUUUUUUUAUAUAAAUCUAUUUAAAGGAUGAGACAUAGAAGGAUCUUUGAAAAUUAUGGUCUGGAAUGGAUAUUUUGCAGACCAAAGUUUGAGAGGUCUGUCAUUGGGAAUGCAUAAUUGUAUCCGAAAGCUUCCCGUGAUGAACUUUAGGUCAAACUCAUAAAGAGAGAACAUUUAAAUUCGUAAAGAAGGGGUAGUGUUCAAGCUAUUUCCCAAGUUAUUAUUUCAAAUCUUUGCCCUUCCAAGUUUUAAAGGUUUAAAUUGUUUGUUAGGGUUUCUCAAUUUGGGUGUUUGAUUUACGAAUUUUAAUUCUUCUCUCUUUCUAAGUUUGAAAACUACCUUCAUUAUCUGGUUGGAGUUGUUGAUACAACCAGAACCAGAUUUUAAAUUCAGUUGGGAUUGUUGGGAGAUAAGAAUGGGAGAUUUUUUUGGCUGGCUCUUUGUCAGUUGGGAUUUGUUUUUGUUUUCUUUUCUUAAUGCUUCUUAAUUCCUGUUUUGCUUUAGCAAAGUGUUCAGCUCGCAUGAAUUUGAUCUUUCGGUUAAUAGAGCUUAGAAAUUAGCUUACGGCACCAUAUGAAAAUGGGUUUAAUUUUCUUUAGGUUUAUAGUGAAGAAGUCGAUCGUUUAAAAGGGUUUUUCUUCAAGAACAAACAUAUAGUGUAAUUUAAGAUAAACAAAAAGAAACUAAACUAUUUUUAUAUCACCAAAAAUUUCAGUGUCUCUGAUACCAAAUCAGACCAAAGUGAGUCAAAUUAAAGUUAGUAACCAACUGAACUUACUACAAGUGAAAUGUGUCUGAACAAUGAGUUGA